GCGGGCGUAGCUCAAUGGUAGAGCACGAGCUUCCCAAGCUUGUGACGAGGGUCCGAUUCCCUUCGCCCGCU
Molecule: transfer RNA, 71 nt
Filed under: Holosporaceae bacterium
Lineage: Bacteria; Pseudomonadati; Pseudomonadota; Alphaproteobacteria; Holosporales; Holosporaceae
Description: tRNA-Gly
Rfam family: tRNA
About the family: Transfer RNA (tRNA) molecules are approximately 80 nucleotides in length. Their secondary structure includes four short double-helical elements and three loops (D, anti-codon, and T loops).
Source: RNAcentral